Molecule: long non-coding RNA, 601 nt
Organism: Heterocephalus glaber (naked mole-rat)
Lineage: Eukaryota; Metazoa; Chordata; Mammalia; Rodentia; Bathyergidae
Source: Ensembl
AUUACUCAGCCAGGUGUGGUGGUGCAUGCCUGUAAUCCCAGCACUUGGGAGGCUGAAGCAAGAGGAUCGCUGAGAGUUUGAGGCCAGCCUGAGCUAUGUAGUGAGUUCAAGCCCAGUCUGAAUUACAGAACAAGACCUUGUCUCACCACCCCUCCCUCCAAAGAGAUGACAUUACUCAAUCUGGGGGAGAGAUUGGGAAUAAAUUUGUGACAAAUAUAUAGAAAGCUAAACUAAUAAAACUAAAAUGAUUUUUUUAGCCCUAGGAAGAAAAUUUAGCAGGAAAGGGCAAAUAAUUAUUGUACACUCAUGACUUGGCUUUGAAGAGUAUUUAUAUAUUAAUGUCAUGAGGUGAGUAGGCUUCCUCUACUACGAUGUGCUGCCUCAUCACAGGCCAGAAGCAAUGGGGCCAACUGACCAUGAAGUGAAACCUACAAAAUGGCCAAUGGUUUUACCCGUGGUUUUCAAGAACAGCCACUCCUUUUACGGAUCACCAAUUCAGUCCCUAUGGUUGUAAAAAAAUCUGUCAAAGCCAACACAAGAUUGUUUGAGGAUUUUAUGAGCCUUUCAUUGGGAUUAACUCAAUGAACAGGAAACAGACUAC